UCGCAGCUAACGCAUUAAGCUCUCCGCCUGGGGAGUACGGCCGCAAGGUUAAAACUCAAAGAAAUUGACGGGGGCCCGCACAAGCGGCGGAGCAUGUGGUUUAAUUCGAAGCAACGCGAAGAACCUUACCCACGUUUGACAUGUCCAGUUUGGGCUGCAGAGAUGCGGUCCUUCAGUUCGGCUGGCUGGAACACAGGUGCUGCAUGGCUGUCGUCAGCUCGUGUCGUGAGAUGUUGGGUUAAGUCCCGCAACGAGCGCAACCCUCGCUACUAGUUGCCAUCAGGUUAAGCUGGGCACUCUAGUGGAACUGCCGGUGGCAAGCCGGAGGAAGGUGGGGAUGACGUGUCGCAACUAACCA
Molecule: unclassified non-coding RNA, 358 nt
Filed under: uncultured Hyphomonadaceae bacterium
Lineage: Bacteria; Pseudomonadati; Pseudomonadota; Alphaproteobacteria; Hyphomonadales; Hyphomonadaceae
Description: contains 16S-23S intergenic spacer region
Rfam family: Bacterial small subunit ribosomal RNA
Source: RNAcentral